RNAcentral lists this ribosomal RNA (468 nucleotides) under uncultured bacterium. Its description in RNAcentral is "partial 16S ribosomal RNA". It matches the Rfam family "Bacterial small subunit ribosomal RNA", at positions 28 to 507 of the family's 1533-position model. The record is from RNAcentral.
GACGAACGCUGGCGGCGUGCUUAACACAUGCAAGUCGAACGGAAAGGCCCUGCUUUUGUGGGGUGCUCGAGGGGCGAACGGGUGAGUAACACGUGAGUAACCUGCCCUUGACUGUGGGAUAACUUCAGGAAACUGGGGCUAAUACGGGAUAGGAGCUCCUGCUGCAUGGUGGGGGUUGGAAAGUUUCGGCGGUUGGGGAUGGACUCGCGGCUUAUCAGCUUGUUGGUGGGGUAGUGGCUUACCAAGGCUUUGACGGGUAGCCGGCCUGAGAGGGUGACCGGCCACAUUGGGACUGAGAUACGGCCCAGCCUCCUACGGGAGGCAGCAGUGGGGAAUAUUGCACAAUGGGCUGAAGCCUGAUGCAGCCCCGCCGCGUGCGGGAUGUCGGCCUUCGGGUUGUAAUCCGCUUUCGCCUGUGACGAAGCGUGAGUGACGGUAAUGGGUAAAGAAGCACCGGCUAACUACGUG